This 369-nucleotide ribosomal RNA is filed under the name uncultured bacterium. RNAcentral describes it as "bacterial SSU rRNA". It matches the Rfam family "Bacterial small subunit ribosomal RNA", at positions 527 to 896 of the family's 1533-position model. The record is from RNAcentral.
GUAGGGUGCGAGCGUUAAUCGGAAUUACUGGGCGUAAAGCGUGCGCAGGCGGUUCGUUGUGUCGGCGGUGAAAGCCCCGGGCUUAACCUGGGAACGGCCGUUGAAACUGGCAAACUGGAGUGUGGCAGAGGGGGGUGGAAUUCCGCGUGUAGCAGUGAAAUGCGUAGAGAUGCGGAGGAACACCGAUGGCGAAGGCAGCCCCCUGGGCUAACACUGACGCUCAGGCACGAAAGCGUGGGGAGCAAACAGGAUUAGAUACCCUGGUAGUCCACGCCCUAAACGAUGUCGACUGGGUGUUGGGGAAGCGAUUUCCCAGUACCGUAGCUAACGCGUGAAGUCGACCGCCUGGGGAGUACGGCCGCAAGGUUA